AUCUGCAGCCAGACUACAUGAAUACAUCUGAUCUCUGAAGCUACACAGCAAUGUUCCUAGUUAGUAUUUAGGUAAGAGAACCUUGUCAGAGAUU
RNAcentral lists this ribosomal RNA (94 nucleotides) under Mus caroli (Ryukyu mouse). RNAcentral describes it as "rRNA (MGP_CAROLIEiJ_G0034232.1)". Lineage: Eukaryota; Metazoa; Chordata; Mammalia; Rodentia; Muridae. The record is from RNAcentral.